GCCGGGCAUGGUGGCGCAUGCCUGUAGUCCCAGCUACUCGGGAGGCUGAGGCAGAAGAAUCGCUUGAACCUGGGAGGCAGAGGUUGCAGUGAGCUGAGAUCGCACCACUACACUCCAGCCUGGAUGACAGAGCGAGACUCUGUCUCAA
This is an unclassified non-coding RNA of Pongo abelii (Sumatran orangutan), 148 nucleotides long. It matches the Rfam family "Metazoan signal recognition particle RNA". Rfam says of the family: The signal recognition particle (SRP) is a universally conserved ribonucleoprotein. It is involved in the co-translational targeting of proteins to membranes. The eukaryotic SRP consists of a 300-nucleotide 7S RNA and six proteins: SRPs 72, 68, 54, 19, 14, and 9. The record is from Ensembl. Lineage: Eukaryota; Metazoa; Chordata; Mammalia; Primates; Hominidae.